RNAcentral lists this long non-coding RNA (20422 nucleotides) under Coffea arabica (coffee). RNAcentral describes it as "long non-coding RNA (CARA_LNC003777)". Lineage: Eukaryota; Viridiplantae; Streptophyta; Magnoliopsida; Gentianales; Rubiaceae. The record is from RNAcentral.
UUCUUGCCCUUUUGUUGUGUCGCUUGGCUUGAGCCUUCUACCAUGUUUGCAUAUGAUUUAAGGUGAUGUUGAGGCGAUGAGUUGUGUUUAAGUUUUGGGCCACAUGAUCUUGUUUCAGUCCAAAUUUGUGAUUUUUGUUAGUGAGGUAUUCGGUUGAUAAUGGAACCCAAUAGUUGCAGAAAUUUUUCCAGAUUUUCGCAUAUUCUCUCUCUGAUUUUUAUGUUUAAACAUAAGACUCUGUGGUCAAAAAUAGAAAGAUUACUGGAUGAUCUUGUUGUUCUGAUUCAAGUUUGUCGGUUUGGCCAUUUAGUUAUAUUUAGACUGCAUUCAAGAACUCACCAGAAAAUUGAAAUCAACAUUCAAAUUAAAGAAGCAAUAAAAGAAUGCAUUUCCUGUCUUUCGAAUCUGUUGGGGAUAGGUGGUAGCACUUUGGGGGCAAUGGUAACAAUGGGUUGAAGAUCAUAGUGUUAUUCUUGGUUUUGAUGAUCACAAAGUACUUUGAAAUGUUUAUCUAACUCUCUUCAAAUAUAAGUGUUUUUUGCCUAUCAAAGAAUCAGGUACGAAUAUGUCAAGAAAUGAAAAUCAACCAAAAGAAGUAGCAAAAACAGGACACUCAUGUCGGACGUCCAAAGGAAUCUGUCGGACGUCCGAAAGGAUAAAGAACAUCAAGAAGGAAGCUCUGUCGGACGCUCAUAAGGAAGCGUCGGACGUCCGGAAUGAUCGGACGCACGUCUCGGACGCACAUCAACCGCGUCGGACGUCCGAAAAAUUCCAAGAAAACUUGCCAACUCUCUGACGACGAUCGGACGCUGAUACUGUCGGAUGAUAAAAACGCAUCGGACGUCCGAACUACAACUUGGCUGUUUUCGGACGAUAGGUUGGGACGAUGAUUUGGUCGUCGGACGUCCGACAGCCCCAACGGCUAGCUGACUCUUCAUCUGCCUUCUAUCCGUUUGAAGAAUUAAUGAACCCCAUUUUUGGUCCCCUUUAAAAAUAAACUGUUCUGAACCAAGAAGAAAUUUUUGCACACUUUGUUUACAAGAUCUCAAGAGAUUUUUUAGCUUGAAAAUAGUCUCCAAGACAAGAUUUGUUCUCCAAGUGGUGUGAAUUUUUUGUGAGCAUUUCUCUUGUGGUUGAAAGUUUUAUAAGUGUAACUUUUAUUGAGGGUUAUCUGAGUGAUUGUAAAACUUCUUAACUUGACUAAGUGAGGCUUAGGGCAAGGAGGAAGUGCUCCCUCCAUUGUACAUCUAGUUGAUCAUCUUUCAUCAAAAAAAAGUUGCUCAACCUAGUGAUUGGUUUUCAAGUUUGAGGAAAGCUUGGUAGACAAUCGGUUUGAUAAUCUAUCUUAUUCUUUUUGUUUAAUAAAAUUCUCAUUGCUUAUCUAUACUUGUUUUUCUAAUCAACAUUGCUCUCUUCUUCUAAUCUACUUGGUUGAUCAUUACUAGAAAAGAAGGUAAAUUUUUAUUAAAGAAAAAGUGCAUAAAUUUGAUUAAAAUUUUAAUCAACCUAAUUCACCUCCCCUCUUAGGUUGUCUUUGGGCCUUACAAUUGGUAUCAGAGCUUGGUCUCCUAGAGAUUAAGCUCAAGCGGCUUGGAGUAAAGAUGACAACCAGUCAUGCCAUGUUUGUUGAGGGGCAAUCUGUUACUAGGCCUCCCAUGUUUAGUGGCUCCAAUUAUGUUAGUUGGAAAGAAAGGAUGAUUAUCUUUUUGCAAUCUAUUGAUAUUGAACUAUGGUUUAUUGUGAGUGAAGGACCGCAUGAAACUAACUUUCUUGAUGCAGAUACAGGUUUGCAUCGGCCAAAAACGAGAGCUGAAAUGAAUGCUCAAGAUAGGACUAAUCUCACAUUGAAUGCCAAAGCCAUGAAUGUUCUUUAUAGUGCCUUAGAUUCAAAUGAAUCAAUUAGAGUAAAAGGCUGUAAAUCGGUCAAAGAAAUGUGGGAUAAGUUAAGAGAAAUCCAUGAGGGUGGUGACAAUGUGAGAUAACAGAAAAAGGCUAUCUUGGUCACAAAGUAUGAAUCAUUUAAAAUUGAAUCUCUUGAGGAUAUUGAUAAAAUGUAUUGCAGGUUCAAUGACUUGAUCAAAGAUCUCGAGGUGUUGAGCAAAAAGUACACCUUGGGAGAGAAGAACAGGAAAAUUCUCAAUGCAUUGGGCAAAGAAUGGGAAAAUAAAGUGUCUGCAAUAGAUGAGGCUAAGGAUUUAAAUUCUGUGCCUAUUGAAUCUCUCAUUAACUCACUAAUCUCUUAUGAGUUGAAAUUGAAAUCUAAAGUGCAGGAGGAAGAGGAUGCUAGAGCAAAGAGAAACAUUGCUCUAAAGACUACUCAAGGUGAAGAUGAUCCAGCUCACUUGGAUGAUGAAGACUCGGAUGGUGAUGAUAAUGAUCUUGCUCUCAUCACAAGAGGCUUCAAGAGAAUCUUGAAUAAAAGGAAGUUUAGAAGGGGAGGAUCUAGCAAUCAAUUUCAAAAUUAUUCAUCAAAUGCAAAGAACAAAGGAAAACAAGAAUUCAACAAGAAGCAAGUGGACAAAUGCUAUGAAUGUGGACAGCCUGGAUACUAUGCAAACGAAUGCCCCAUGAAGAAAAUGAAAGAUGGGAAAGCUGAUCGAAAGCCAAGAUUCAACAACUUCCAGAUUACUUGGAAUGAAUGCAACUCCGAAGGGGAAGUUGAAGAAGAGGAAGAAUUAGCUCAAAUGGCCUUCAUGGCUAUUGGAGAUAAUGAGGUAACUUCCAUACACUCUCAAUCUGAAAGUGAUGAUGAAGAAGAUGAUGAUCUUGAAUCCUUUGUUGAAAAACUGCAUAAUGCCUUGAAGGAAUCUUAUGAUAAAAACAAGCAGCUAAAACAAAAAAUUGCUUUUCUCAUUCAUGAAAAUGCAAGUCUUCUUCAAAAAAAUAAACAACUAAAGACUGACAAUGAAUGUCUUGUAAGAGCCGGAUUUGAUGUUCAAAAUGAGUUUGAUAGAAAGACAAGUAUUUGUGAAAUGCUGAAGGAAAGACAUGGUGAUUUGAAGAAAAGAAUGGAUAACUUGGAUGAGACUUUGAAAGCAAGAAAGCAAGAUUUUCUCAAAAAGAACAUGUCAUCUACCUUUCUUACUGCUCAUCAAAGAACAUUAGCACACAACAAAAAUGCACAUGAUUUCACAACAUAUAGAAGAAGUGGAUUGAGAUAUGUCAAACCAUUACAUGUUAAGGACUCUUCCAUUAUGUGUGAUUUUUGUUGUCAAGAAGGGCAUUUGAAAGGAGAUUGCUAUGUGAAAAGAAAUUUGAACAAAGGGAUGAGAUGCAUGUGGUUAGUUAGACACAAUGCUAACUAUUGUGGACCCAAAAAUUAAAAAGGGUACCAAACACUUUCUCUUUUCAGGAAAAAUGCUCAAACAAGUCCAAAUGGUUUAUUGAUAGUGGCUGCUCAAGGCAUAUGACCGGUGAUCCCUCUUUGUUCAUAAAGCUAAGAUCAAAAUCAAAUGAAAAGGUGACAUUUGGUGAUGAUGUGAAAGCUAAGACAAUUGGAAUAGGUGAUGUUGGUAAGGAUGGUGAAACUUUUGUUCAUAAUGUGCUCUUAAUUGAUAAUUUAGGUUAUAACUUGCUUAGUGUUAGUCAAUUGUGUGAUGAAGACUUGAAUGUGUUGUUUAAAAAGCAUGAAUGCAUUGUGCUUGAUUCCAAAUACAAUGUUGUGUUCAAAGGUAAGAGAUUUAACGACAUAUAUAUUGUGGUUCUUGAUAAAAUUGAUUCAUCUAACUUCAAAUGCCUUAAAGCUUCAAAUGAAGAUCCUUGGUUGUGGCAUAGGAGACUUUGUCAUUUUAAUAUGGAUUUACUAAAGGAAAUUUUGAAAAAGGAGCUGGUUAGAGGCUUGCCAAAAAUCAGUUUUGAAAAGGAUAAAAUUUGUUAUGCAUGUCAAUUUGGAAAACAAACAAAAGUUUCUUUUAAACCAAAGAAGUGUGUAUCAACUUCUAAACCUUUAGAACUCUUGCAUCUUGACUUAUUUGGUCCUACUCAAAUCACUAGCUUGGGAGGUAAGAAAUACUGCUUUGUGAUUGUGGAUGAUUAUUCUAGAUAUACUUGGGUGAUAUUUCUUGCUCAUAAGGAUGAUGGCUUCAAGAAUUUCACUUCAUUGUUUGCUAAAGUGCAAAAUCUGCUUGGUUUAAAAAUUGUUAGGAUUAGAAGUGAUAAUGGAACGGAAUUCAAGUAUUGUGAUUUUCUAAAAUUUUGUGAUUAUAAUGGCAUAACACAUGAGUUUUCUAUUGCAAGAACUCCACAACAAAAUGGUGUUGUAGAAAGGAAAAAUAGGACACUACAAGAGGCUGCUAGAACUAUGUUAAGUAAAUGUAGUUUGCCAAAAUACCUUUGGGCUGAAGCGGUAAACACUGCAUGUUAUGUGAUGAAUAGAAUCCUUUUGAGACCUAUUUUGAAUAAAACAUCUUAUGAACUGAUUUUUGAUAAGAAACCUACGGUUGGAUAUUUCAAAGUCUUUGGUUGUAAAUGUUUUAUUUUAAAUUUAAAGGAACGUCUUGGUAAGUUUGAGAAAAAAUCUGAUGAAGGAAUAUUUUUGGGAUAUUGUGAGAACAAAAGAGGAUAUAGAGUCUUUAAUAGAAGGACUCUUGUGAUAGAAGAAACCAUACACAUAACAUUUGAUGAAACUAAUGAUGAUAAUUCCAAAAAUUCGUGUGAGGAUGAUGAUGUAGGUGUUCGUGAAGGAAUGGAAAAGCUAAAAAUUGGAGAUGGAGGAAACUCUAAACCGGAAGCAAAGGAAAUGGAGAAUGAAGCUCAUGAAGAUCAAGAAAGGGAAGAUGAGGACAAAAAUGAUGAUUCAUUCAAAGAUCUUCCCAAGGUUUGGAAAUUUAGCCAAAAUCAUCCAAAAGAACUUAUAAUUGGUGAUCCAUCUGAGAAGGUAAACACUCGUUCCUCAUCUAAGAAAUUGAUAGACAAUUUUGCUUUAGUUUCUCUUUUUGAACCUAAAAAUAUCAAUGAUACCUUAAAGGAUGAAAACUGGAUUUUGGCAAUGCAAGAGGAACUCAAUCAAUUUGAAAGAAAUGAGGUUUGGACAUUAGUUGAUAGACCUCAAAAUCACCCUAUCAUUGGCACUAAGUGGGUAUUUAGAAAUAAGCUGGAUGAUAAAGGUGUAGUUGUAAGAAAUAAAGCUAGAUUAGUUGCAAAAGGGUAUGCUCAAGAAGAAGGAAUUGAUUUUGAUGAAACAUUUGCUCCCGUAACUAGAUUAGAAUCAAUUAGAAUGCUUCUCGCUUUUGCUUGCUUCAAGGGUUUUAAACUGUUUCAAAUGGAUGUUAAAAGUGCCUUUUUAAACGGUUUUAUUGAUCAAGAAGUAUAUGUGGAUCAACCCCCCGGUUUUGAAAAUUCAAAAUUUCCAAAUCAUGUGUUUAAACUCUCAAAAGCAUUGUAUGGGCUAAAACAAGCUCCAAGAGCUUGGUAUGAAAGAUUGAAUGGUUUCUUGAUUGAAAAUAAUUUCAAAAGAGGAGUUGUGGACACCACACUGUUUACUAAGCAAGUACUAAAUGAACUCCUUAUUGUGCAAAUAUAUAUAGAUGAUAUUAUUUUUGGUGCUACUAAUGAGUAUCUAUGUAAGGAUUUUUUCACCAUUAUGCAAAGUGAAUUUGAAAUGAGUAUGAUGGGAGAAUUAAUUUCUUCCUUGGACUUUAAAUACAUCAAGCCAUAGAGGGCAUUUUCAUAAAUCAAGCAAAAUACACUAAGGAAUUGCUGAAAAGAUUUGGCAUUGAGGAUUCAAAGCAAGUUGGAACUCCAAUGUGCACUUCAACAAAACUUGACCAAGAUGAAGAAGGUAAACAUGUGGAUGAAAAGCACUAUAGAUGUAUGAUUGGAAGCUUACUUUAUUUAACCGCAAGUAGACCCGAUAUUAUGUUUGUUGUUUGCUUGUGUGCUAGAUUUCAAUCUUGUCCAAAAGAAUCACAUUUGAAUGCUGUUAAAAGAAUUUUUAGGUAUUUGAAAGGUACAUUAGACUAUGGUCUUUGGUAUGCUAGAUCUAGUGAGUUUGCACUAUAUGGAUAUUCGGAUGCUGAUUUUGGAGGUUGUCGUGUGGAUAGAAAGAGUACUAGUGGAACUUGUCACUUUCUUGGUAAUUGCUUAGUCUCUUGGUUUAGCAAGAAACAAAAUGCAAUCUCUUUGUCUACAACCGAAGCGGAAUAUAUUACCGCUAGUGCAUGUUGUGCUCAACUUUUAUGGAUGAAGCAUACCAUGAAUGAUUUUGGAUUGUCAUAUGACUGCAUGCCUAUAUUCUGUGAUAAUGCUAAUGCUAUCAAUUUGACCAAAAAUCCAAUUCAACAUUCUAGGACAAAGCAUAUAGAUAUAAAGCACCACUUUAUUCGCGAUCUUGUUAAAAAAGGUGAAGUAUGUGUAAAUUAUGUUUGUUCUAAAGAUCAAUUUGCUGAUAUUUUUACAAAAGCUUUGCCAUUAGAUUAGUUCACUCAUCUAAGAUCAAAAUUAGGGAUAAUCAAAAAAUCAUCUUAAAAUUUUUCAAAGCCUUCGGACGUCCGAAAGAAGAUGAACGGACGUCCGAUAAUGUUCUUCAGCUAUUUUCCAGAAAACACCUGUUCGGACGAAGCUGUCGGACGCACGACUUUGUUCGGCCAUCAAACAGUGCAACGGUUCACUUUUUAAAGUAACUUUCUUCUUCAUUUGCUUCAAACUCUUCUUCUUCUAUUUCCUCUCGGACGAAAACUCUCUCGUUUCUCACUCUCAAAUUCGUACCAUUCUGAAGCUCUCAUUCCCAAAUUGACUCAACCAAAACUUUUCCUGAUCGAUUGCGAUUCGUUUCUCCUGAUCAUUUCACCGAAUCGCAUAACAUUUCGCAAAUUCCCAAAUUUCACUCAAAACCCUAUUUUCUCAUAACCGCUCUGUCCAAUCUUCUUCAAGGCCUUUUUGUCCCAAAAUUUCUGUGUGAUUCACUUCCAUACUACUGUGUGCAUCAUUUGCAUCCUUCAUUCCACACAUUUCGCACAAUGGUGAAUCUAAGAGGAGGGAAGGUCACUGCCGGACGCAAGCAUCCACUCAGGGAUGAGGAUGAUGAUGUUCCUACGGUCAAACGAUCAUCCAAACGCUUCAAGAGGGGAGCUGUAAAGGGUCAAAUGUCACAGCCUACACCACAACCCACCCCUCAACCUGAAUUUGGACAGGGAACCUCAUCUCAACCGCCUCCAAAAUCAACCACAGUCCCUACAUUCUUUGAUGAUGCUGCAAAAGACAAACACUCCUGGAUAUCCCAGAAAGGUGUCAUCCCUCAACGCACCGUAAAUUCUUCUGAAUUUCGCCAAAUAGGUUUAGAAUCCAUUCUGAGUCUGUUUGCUUUCCAAAAAUGGUCACAUCUCAUUUCUAUGCCUAAUGUCUAUUAUCCUGAAAUGCUGUUUCAAUUUUUUGCCAAUCUUAGGAAAGGCACUGACCAAACUGAGAUUAUGUCCAGGGUUAAUGGGGUAGGCUUAGUUUUUGAUUCUGAAAUUGUGAAUGAUAUUUUAAAAACUACUAUUGAACCUGGAUGCAAGAGUAAAAUUACAAAUUUCUUUUCCUAUGAAGAGCAUCCUACUGCUGAUAAUCAUUUUGAUGGGGCUAAGAUGUUAACUUAUUUUAAAAGAAGUUUUUCUGCCCCUGCUGAUGCUAAACUGAAUGAUCUUGCCCCUGUGAAUCUAACUGCCUUUUCAAUCAUUUCAAACUAGCUUGUGCCUACUGAUGGCCAUAGAACAGAUGCAAACAAAAUGGAGUUGUAUCUCUUUUACUGUUUUCGAGAAAAGAUUCGUAUUGAUUUUGGUUUUGUCAUGUGCAAGUUUUUAUUUCGUUAUGCCACUGAUUCUCGCAGAAAAUUAUCUUAUGAAAAUUUUCUUCAAAAGAUUUUUGAGUUUUACAAAAUACCAAUUCUAGGUGUUUGUCCCAAAGAAGCAUCUUCUUAUGCCUCUACCAAAGGAUAUUUUGAAAGGAAAAAUCUUGUCUUUAAGGAUAACUUAUGGGUUUAUAAGGGGGCAUCAUCUAGUGAACUUAGGUCUAAGGCUGCACAUGAUCCACUACACACUCCUUCAUCUGUUGCACUCACUCCCAUUCAUCCCAGGAAGUCUGCCACUAAGGCAUCUUCCUCCUCCAAUAAUGAAGUGAUUGAGUUCCUUCGUGAACUCAAACAGCAUGUUCUUCUUCUGGAACAUGGUCUAAUGCUCACCAUGUCCUCUGAGCAACAAACAGCCUACCUAGACAAAAAGAACCUUCUUUUUCCCCCACCUGUGAUUGAGGAAGUUUUCCAUGGCAAAGAGCCACGCCCCACUGAUCCAAGUUCAUCAAUUCCAGACCCGAGCUCAUCAACUCCCGUGAUUCCUCAUGGCCCUUCCACAUCAGAUAAAGGCAAGGCACUAGUUGAAGAAGCUGCUGAAGAUGAUGAAGAAACUGAAGAGGAGGACCUCUCCCAAUAUCAGCUUUCUCGAAGGACACCUGGAUCCACCUAGUUCACCAUUUAGGAUCACAUAGGGUCAUUUGCAUUUUGUUUGACUAUUUCAUGUGUUUCUAGUGUUUGUGGUGUUCAACAAUGGAUAUGUAGAUGUAAUGCUUAUGUUUAUGUUGUGUUCGUUUAGUACUUUUUGAUGGAUGAUUAUGGCUGUAAUGGUUAUGGAUAUGUGGAUGGAUGUUUACGUAUUUUGAAUGAUGAAUGUGUGGAUGUGAUAAAUAUUUUUGUUAUUAGUUCUCCGUGAUAUACGUGAUUGAUUGGUCUUUUGUGAUGACAAAAAGGGGGAGAGGUCUGGAUUGGAUUGAUUGAUGAUUUAAUUGAAAUUGAAUUGGCUUGAUGGAUUGAAUUGGUAAAAUGUUGGAUGUUGACUGCUUAAUUGUUAUAUUUUUGGAUAAUUGAUUAAUUCGGUAGGGUAGCCAAGUGAGGGGGAGUUUUUCAAAUUUUUGCUCUAUGAUCCACUAAGUAAGGGGGAGUUUUUGUCAAUUGAGAAAGGGGGAGCUUAUAUUGCAAUCAUCAAAUCUCAUUUCAAACCAUUGUUAUGUCAUCAUCAAAAAGGGGGAGAAUGUUAUUCUUGGUUUUGAUGAUCACAAAGUACUUUGAAAUGUUUAUCUAACUCUCUUCAAAUAUAAGUGUUUUUUGCCUAUCAAAGAAUCAGGUACGAAUAUGUCAAGAAAUGAAAAUUAACCAAAAGAAGUAGCAAAAACAGGACACUCAUGUCGGACGUCCAAAGGAAUCUGUCGGACGUCCGAAAGGAUAAAGAACAUCAAGAAGGAAGCUCUGUCGGACGCUCAUAAGGAAGCGUCGGACGUCCGAAAUGAUCGGACGCACGCCUCGGACGCACAUCAACCACGUCGGACGUCCGAAAAAUUCCAAGAAGACUUGCCAACUCUCUGACGACGAUCGGACGCUGAUACUGUCGGACGACAAAAACGCAUCGGACGUCCGAACUACAACUUGGCUGUUUUCGGACGAUAGGUUCGGACGAUGAUUUGGUCGUCGGACGUCCGACAGCGCCAACGGCUAGCUGACUCUUUAUCUGCUUUCUAUCCGUUGGAAGCAUUAAUGAAACCCAUUUUUGGUCCCCUUUAAAAACAAAUUGUUCUGAACCAAGAAGAAAUUUUUGCACACUUUGUUUACAAGAUCUCAAGAGAUAUUUUAGCUUGAAAAUAGUCUCCAAGACAAGAUUUGUUCUCCAAGUGGUGUGAAUUUCUUGUGAGCAUUUCUCUUGUGAUUGAAAGUUUUAUUAGUGUAACUUUGUUGAGGGUUAUCUGAGUGAUUGUAAAACUUCUUAGUUUGACUAAGUGAGACUUAGAGCAAGGAGGAAGUGCUCCCUCCAUUGUACAUCUAGUUGACCAUCUUUCAUCAAAGAGAAGUUGCUCAACCUAGUGAUUGGUCUUCAAGUUUGAGGAAAGCUUGGUAGACAAUCGGUUUGAUAUUGUAUCUUAUUCUUUUUGUUUAAUAAAAUUCUCAUUGCUUAUCUAUACUUGUUUUUCUAAUCAACAUUGCUCUCUUCUUCUAAUCUACUUGGUUGAUCAUUACUAGAAAAGAAGGUAAAUUUUUAUUAAAGAAAAAGUGCAUAAAUUUGAUUAAAAUUUUAAUCAACCUAAUUCACCGCCCUCUUAGGUUGUCUUUGGGCCUUACACAUAGCAUUGGGGUUUGGUGGGUAAAUCAAUAGGUUCUGUUUGCAUCCCUUUGAAAGAUCAUGUUUCGGUUUUGCAUAAGAAAAUUGCAAAAACUUUGAAAGUACUGUCAUUCGAUGCUUGCUAGAUUUUUUCCGUAUGAAUUUCUGGAGUUUAAACAUAAACUUUUAUGUUGAAAAGUUAAAAGAAAGCUUGGUUAUCUUGUUACCUUGAUCUAAUUGUCAUUGGACGAGACAUGAGCUACAUUUGAAUGAAAAGGAGAUUGCAUCUUAGAACUUAGUUGCAGAAGCUUUUCUCAUGUUAUUUUGCAUGAAGCUGCAUUAGCUUUCAUGUUUUGAUCCCCGCAGCAGCUCACAAAUUGGGUUUCAUCACCUUGUUUGCACAUUUAAUCUUGUGUCAAUGAUGGAUGCCGUCCCUCUGGGUUGUUCACAAACUGUAAAAUCGUAGCAGAAACUCGCAUAAGCAAAGGAAAUUUCGUUUGGCCAAAUGUCUGGAUGCAUGCAUGGAAACGUUAUUAAAAUUUGCAUCUUAACCCCCUAAGUCUCCUUUUAUCUUACAAUGGCCCAAGUAAUGGGAAAAUCAAUCAAAUUGACCCCUCAAACUUUCUUUUUUCCUUUUAAUUGGGUCCUCAUUUGGUGAAUAUGGGCUGUUUAGCUAUUUAAAUGUUUUUAAUGAUUCAAUUUCAUAUUUAUGUGAUUAUUUGCGAUGCCUUGACACUUUCUUUAUUUUUGGAGGGUAAAUAAGUAAUUUCACUCCAUUAGGGUUCCAACUCAAGGGAGGUACACUCUAUCCCUUAUUUUUUACUCUAUUUGACUCUACGUGCCUUAUGUGACUUUACGUGCUUAAUUGCUUGCCUUUUGAGUUAUUUAUAUAUUUAUUUAUUCGCUUUAUUUAUUUUUAAUUUUACAUAUUUAUUUUAGCUCAAUUUUGGUUAUUUAAAAGGCAUUUAAAUGCCAAGUUGUAAUAGUUAGGUUUAUUUUAUUUAUUUGCAUUUCCCCCCGUUAGAUUGUAGUAGGGCCCCCUCAAAUGUAAUAGCUAGGGUUUUAUUUGCUUCCUUUUUGCUUGUGUGAUUUGCAUGCUUACGUGCUAUGUGUUACCGCUUUCUUAGGGUCUUGCAUCUAGAUAUCAUGAUUAUGUGUCAUGUGUUUACGUGAUAUUAUGUGUUUACUCAUUUUAUUAUGUUUUAUGAGAUUAUAAUUAAAUGCAUGUUAUCACACUAGUCCAAUGCUAGCUGUGAUUCCUUUCCCGUCACCACACUAGUCCAACGCUAGUUGUGGCCCCUUUCUCGACUCCACACAAGUCCAAUGCUUGUGAGAGAGCAUUAGUAAGGGCUAGUCCAAUGUUAGACCCUUAGGGACCAUUCAUACGUUAGAUCAUGAUUGUGUGAUUAAAUCACUUCAUCUCAUGCAUGUUUUCACUUUUUAGGGUUUUUACCAUGUUGCAUGACACUUUUCUCAUAUGUGUAUAUCCUCUAUCCCAUAUCCCUUUCUAUUUAUAUCCCCUAUCUCAUAUUCCCUCUUAUAUCUAUGUCCCCUAUUUCUUAUAAUCCUAUGCAUGAAACAUGACAUUAGACUUGCAUUUUUAUUUAAGAAUUAGAACUAGGCUAGUACAUUUGCAUGAUGAGAUUAGGGAAAUUACCCCUUGCGUAUGAGAUAUGAACGAGUUUAGUUUCCUAAUCUUAGCACGCUUGUAUUCCCUUUAUUAAAGGGAACAUUGAAAGUCACGAGUGUAAGUCCCCCGCACCCAUUAUGAUGCAUUCCUUUAGGUCAUACACAUUUGUAUAUUAUUAGUUUCUUUACUUUUUCUUUCUUUAGAGUCUCAUGGUUUGCAUUAUUCGUGACAUUUCCAAAGAUUCUACAUUGGGCAUCACAAUUAAUGUGAUUAGCACCAAUUGAGAUUUGAAAAGAAAUUUCGACCCCUGAUACCAUCUUAAGUCUAGGGUUUGCAUUCAUAUAGUACAUCCAAAUGUGAUAAAUCUUAAGGGUAAAAUAAGAAAAUCUUUGACUAAAUCGCGCAACUAGCCUUGGCUAGGUUGAAAGGGUGCCUUGGAUUUUUAUCCUUGCCUUCCCUUUCUUCAAAUGUAACUCCCGAAUCUUUUUUUCUGAUUUUCGUAGACUUGGAGUCGUUUAAAAAGGAUUUUUCUACUUUUUCUUUAAAAAUUUAUUUUUAGGUGACUUGGUACACCUUAACUCUUUACCAAGUGGCGACUCCAUUUUUCAAACCCUUUUUAAACUAUAUUUUUGGGUCAAAUCGUCGCAUUUUCAAGUCCCAUUUAGACCCAUGUUUUUCAUUCUCUUCUUAAAUCAAAAAUUUAUUUUCCAAUAAAAAAAAAUUGAACCAAAAGCCAUUUUUCUAAACUCGUCUUUUAUUUUCUUAUUUUUAAAAUUGGGGCGCGACAGCUGGCGACUCCACUGGGGACUUAGAGAGUCCAAGCAAAUUUGAUUUAGUAAAUCCUUUUCUUCUUUUAACCUUUUCAUAUAUCGCAUUUUGGAUAUUUAGGGUUGCAUUUUUCCUUUUUUAGGAUUUUUGCAUUUUGCGCGUAUCAAUUCACUCCCUCGCACAUUUACAUACGAUUGAUUUGAUGGAUGAGUGAUUUAUUUAUGUGAUCCCGCGCUUUGCAUUGCAUUUGGGUGGGGAGAAUUUUACCCUAGAACCUCGCGUUGGUUCUCGAUCCCUCCCCUCCAAAUGAAGCACUUCAUACAUGCAUACAUAGUUUUAGUUACCCUAUUUUUCUCUUUAUCGUGGGCGCUAUCUUACAUCUCCCUGUAGGAUUAGGAUCGAUUUCCUUAGGUAGGCGGAUGGUGUGCACUGCUCCCAUAGCGAUGCCUAAGGGAUCACUCGAGCCACCGACCGAAAGCCCUGGGAGUGAUGACCCUUCGCCUUUAGGUCUGAAGGCUUGGGAGCCGAAGCCUUAUCGAGUUUAAAUGCAUUAGUGAGCCAAAUCUCAUGCAUCCAUAUUAGAAUUACCUAGGGUAGAGUCUGACUCACCCUAUUAGGGACACCAUUCACAAGGGGAGGGAUCCAACCCCUCUAUUCCUUUUAUUAUUUUACCUCUUUGUAUUGUUUUGCUACAAAUGUGUUAUAUGUAUUUAUCUGAUUGAACUAACUUUUUUUGGUUUUUGUCUCCAUUGCAUUCAUAAGCCCUAAAAAAUUAGAGUCCUGGCAUGGUACUCUUUAGGAUGCCUACCCUAUUUGAUAUGACACGUUUUAAUUCAAUGUUUCGUAUUGGCAGCAUAAAUACAUUUCAUUUUAGGCUCACCUCGGCAUACAAAAAGGGGUUCCUUUAGGACACGUUUUAUUGGUGUACUGCAUAUUUAGUCACUUUGAUAAACUGGCAUCAUACAUCCACCUUAGAGGGAAUGUCAUUUAGGAGAUCCCUUGUUAGGAAUAAACCGCCCUGUGUUUCGGAUAUUUAAUCCAAUGAGACUUGCACGUUUAUAUUUUUGUACUGUCCGAAGGGGUAGUGCACGAGAUAAGGUAGGAUCCGAUCUUUUUGAAGACGGCAAAGCAAUUUUUUGCACAUUAGAAUAUGAGCAUCUAACAAUCAUCUUUUGGCCAUUUUAAACAAAAUUGGUAAAAAUUCCCUUGCAUAAAGGACAUUAACUUGAAGAAAUUCACAAAUGAUUCCUCACUGUUGAGAGGAUAAAUGUAGAGCCCAAAUCUUGAUUUUAGGAGGCUCAUAAACUAAUGCAUUGCAAUGAUUUUGUAAAACUACUAAUGAGUAGAUGAUUCAAUCGAUUUUUGAAUAAACCAUCAAUUUCAUCCAAUCCAUUUUGUCAAUUCAUUCAAUUUUAGGGCAAUCUAAUCAUUUUUGAAUAAAUCAUUAACUCCGUUUCAAUCAUUUGGCCAAUUUACCCAUUUUUAGGGCAAUCGAGUCGAUUUUGAAGAGAUCAUCAGUUUCAUUCAAUUCAGCUGACCAAUCUGCCUAGUUUUAGGGCAAUUCGGUCGAUUUUGAAUAAAUCAUCAUUUCACUCGAUCUGUUUGGUUAAUUGAUUUCAUACAAUUCAUUUGAUUAGUUUAAUUCAUUUUUAGGGUUAUCCAUUUAAUUUUGAAUAAAUAAUCAAGUUUCAUUCAAUGCAUUUGACCAUUUUACCCUUUUUAAGGUAAUCUAGUCAAUUUUGAAUAAAUCAUCAAUUUCAUCCUAUCCAUUUGACUUGUUUAUUCCCUUUAGGGUUUAAAUUUAAGGUUCACUAAAUAAAUUAGUCAAGACAUUGCCAUCCUUUCAAGAGUAAGCUUUCUUUCACAUAUUAUAUGUUGAUCAAAGCAAGCAAUCCAUUCGGACUUUGUCCUCAUUUUUAGGACAAAUGUCUCUUCUUACUCCAAUUGGUCAAACUUUUUCAUAUUAUUUUUCACUCAAUCAGUGAAUCAGAUUCAUCAGGUAUUGUAUGGUGCCUACCCUAGAGAAUUGCAUUUUCAUGCUAGGCCUACCCUUGGCAUAAAAGGGCUCCCCCAUAGGACAUGCAUACCGAUUUUGUAGUCUUGCCUACUAACUCGAGGUAUUUUUUCUUUUGUUUUCCCCCCUCCCCUGCAUUUAUAAAAAUGCUUCAAUAAGGUAAAGAAUUCUAUAUCUGAUAACAAUUCUGACCUAACAAAGUGUGAAAAUUACAAGUAUUAUUUGAUUCUUGGGCAGAUCUUACAAUGAAAACAUGAAAGAUUCAUCUGAAAGCUCUAGGCUAAAGCCUCUGAGAGACUUUAUAAUUGUUUUUCAAAGGAAAAUUUUGUUUAUUUGAUUUGUUAAUACAUUUUUGUUCCAAAAGAAAGCGAGACAAAAAGUGUAUAUAUGAGGAGUUUUUUAGAAGUUUUCUCUUCUCAUUUGUAUUAUAAUUGAACGAGAAAUUUUGUUUUAAACUUUUUCAGCAAUAAAGUUUUGGACAAUUAUUGUUUUGUGUAUAUUCAUGUAUAUUUCAUUUCAUUCUUUAUUUUGCUCAUUGGAGAUUUCAUGAUGAAUUUUAACAAAUAAGACCAAAUUGAGAAAAUUGACAAGCGUAUGUUUUCUUUGCAUACCCUAGAUUAGUGAUCCAAACUGUAUAAUAAAAGCACUCAGAAUUAAAAGAGGUCACUCAAAAGACCCAAUGAGAUACCUUUUUCCUCCUUCACUGUACAGUUCAUAUUUUGUCCACUUCUAUUAUCCCCAAAAUAAAAUCUGUCACGUUGAUUGAUAAAUUAUAAAUUGGGGCAAUCUUUGUUUGAAAAUGCCCAUUGUGUCUAAUCCGAUUCAAUUCACAUCUAAGUGAAAGCAAAAAUGUGCAUUAUUCUUGUUUGUUUUGAAAUUUUGGAAUGAUAUUUCAAACGUUCGUUUCUCUAUCCAUGCAGCUUUUAUCAUUUGCUCUCCCAUUUGAGUCUUUAAAAGAAUAAUUUCGUUAAAAACCUUAAUGAUCAUUACCCUACAUUGAAAAAUUUUCAAAUAUUAAAAGGGAGUGAAUUUUCAAUGACCAUUUCGUUAUUUUGGUUGUCAUGAGGUGUAAGAAUGAUACUUUGGCCAUCAUUUUUACAACCUAAACACUAUUUAUCUCUUGCAUCCUCAUUUGAGCUAAAAUGGGUGGUUCUUUUCAAAGUACCUAUGAUCGCACCCCAUAUUGGGGAAGGAGAUUGGAGAAUUUUGUGAAAAAGGAAAAAGCUAAAAUGCUAAAAUUAAAGGAGAAGAGAGAGAACCCUAAAUCGGGAAAAUUUGAUUCUACCAUCGAUAUUUGGGCUUCAAUUUUGAAAAGAAGAAAAGAGAAAAAGAGAAGAGAAAGAGUGUCCGGCAAAUCAUCUAUAUGGAUGAACGAGAGUCAUUCUCGGUUAAUUGAUUCAAAUGCAUGCAAAAAAAUUUCGCAUUAAUGAAAAUUUUCCUUUCAGAGUUAAUGUAAGGAACGGAAUAAAAGUCAGGCUCUUUUCUUUUCCAAUCAAAUAUUCUAUCCCUAGUUAUCCUUUUUGAGCCUUCAGAAUAAAUUACUUCGUUUGGCAACCUCUGAGAAUCGCAAACCCCACACUGGGGCAAGUUUGAGUUGAAAAAGAAAUAAAAGUCUCAAGAGAUGAAAAGUGAUAAAGCAACAAAAGCAAAGAAGAAGAAGAAAAGAGAACCUCGGUUGAACAUGAACUGGGACAAAUUUUGAAAAGUUCAAAAGAAUGGCAGAAGGCCAAAAAGAAAAAAGAGAGCAAAAAAUGAAAGGAAAAGACCCUCAAUUGAAAAUAAACUGGAGCAAGUUCUGAUUUAAUCCUAAAAAUAAGGUUGGCGCAAUAAUGCGAUCUCAGGUCAUUCAAACCACUUUUGAAAAUCUGCUUUCAAACCUUAACUUUUCUAAGUAUCUCACCAGACCCAUUACAAAAGUUGAAAGUUCUGACUUCUGUUUCUUUGCAAUAUCUCUGUCAAGAAAUUUUCUAAUUGGCAAGUGAUGCUUGUAUACUGAUGCCAGAAAUUUUUUAAAUGUAUUUCUGAAUUGAUUAGUUAUGAAGUUGACAGUACUCAUCAUCUGAAAAUCCGCCAUGGCACCUUUGAAAAGAAAGGAAAAGCAAAAAGCAAAAAAUAACUGCAAAGGAAAUGGAAAAGAUUUGAUGGUGAAGUCCCCGUUAAGUAAUGACGAAAGUCACCAAAUCUAAAAUCUUUAAAUUCAAAAUAGGGGCAAUUUUAAAAAAAUGCGAUCUACGGUGCAAUGUCCUUGAAAGUUUUAUACUUUAAACUAUUGUUUUCAAGCCGCAUUACAAGCACAUUGUAGACACCAAAUUUUUGGUGUUUUAUUAUUUAUUUAUUUACUAUUCAUUUUUUAUUUGUUCUAUUUUUAUUUGUCACAAUUAGUUUUAUUUACUUUUAGUUUUAGUUAUUUUAGCCAUUUUGGCGUAGAAUUUCUCAAAGAAAAAAGAAAAGCGUUCAAAAAAAAUAUGUUUUAGUUGUUUUAGAUUUAGUUUUCAUUAUUUAAAAAUGAAAAUAAAAAAAAAUGAAAAAUAGGCGAAGAAAAAACAUGGUUUAGGGCAUUUUGGUUUAUUUUUGAAAAAAAGAGGAAAAAGGAAAAAACAAUGAAAAUGGAAAAUGAAAAAGGGGGAAAUGGAAUUUGCACUUUGUUGUUUCUAGUUUAUUUAUUUUUAUCCAUGUUAAUUAAAUCAUUUUUGUUUUUUAUUUUUAUUAUCAAUUUUGUUUUUUUUUUAAACAAAAUUUUACAUGCAAGCUGCGUUUCCGCAGCUUGCAAGGACAGUCGCACAUGACCAUCGGAUGGCUGAGGUGAGGAACGAAGAGCUGGGAUUGAAAAGGACCAUUGAUAUCAGGGUUUUGGGUUUUGGUCAUUGGAUAUAAAAGGAAAAGAGUGAAGAGAGCAUAAGGGGAGAGGUAGAGCAUGAUAGCCGCAAAUCUGGAAAGGAAAGGAAAAGAAAACAGCGACAGAGUAGAGAGCUGGGGAGAGAGCCGAGAGAGAGAGAGCUAAAGAGGGAUAGCUGUAGGGGCCGAGAGAGCAAGGAACAAAAACUGGGGAAAAGGAGGAGGCUAGCGGAUGAAAAGAGAGGCUCGUUGGCGGCUGCUUGAGCGAGAAAAAUCAGAAAGAAACGAGAGGGAGAGUGGAGAGUUUUGUUUCUUCUCAGCCAUAACCGAAAGGUUGCGAGAGAGGAGAGGAUCGGAAAAGAUAGAAAACAUCGUAGGAAAAAAAGGGCUGAGUUUCUGGGGGAGAGCAUACGGGUUGAGAGGAAAAAGAAACAACAGCGGAGGGAAGAAGGAUUGAAAGUGGCGGCUGCAAAUCUGAAAAGAAAGGAGAGCAAAACAGAGAGGGACGACUGCAAAUCUGUGAGGAAAAAGAAAAAGAAAGCAGCGACAGAGAAGGGGUUUUAGAAAGGAACAAAAGAAAGGGUCUUGGAAAGGAAGUGACGGCUGAGAGGUCCUGGGGAAGAAAAAAAGAAAGCAGAGCAAUUGCUGCUCAUCGCCAUCACCGCCUGCAAACCUCCAUAAACACCGCCCGCGAACCUCCAACCGCCAGUCCGCAUUUGCUGUUGCUGCCGUCCGUCGAUCAUCACCCGCACCAUCACCAUCUAGGCUCAAGUUAGCUUCAGAAACCGAGAGCACUGUAAGUUCCUCUCAAACUUUUGAAGCAUGUCUUUCAUGAUUUUGCUUACGGCUAUAUUUCUGUUGGGGUCCUCAUUUUCUGGUUUGGGUUAAAUGUUUUAAGGGCUAGAAUUGAAGAUUUCGGCAGGUUUCAUGGCACUUGGUUAUGUUGUUUAGUUGCAUCUUAUGGAAACACUGAAGUUAAAUCUAUCUAGUUGUAUGUUACUUCGCAUGAUCAUCUUUCGGUCUGUGACUAAAAUUGCAGAAUGUUAUUUCUAUGCUUGCAUGAUCAUCUGUCCGAGUUUCAGAUGUUUAAACAUAAGGUUUUUGUGGCACUUUUUCUUUUUUCUUCUAUUUCUGUUCUGUAUUCCUGAUGGUCAGCUCUGUUUCUCUCUUUCAAACCUUGCCAUGAAACCAUUUUUAGCCGACGAUGGAUAGGUAUCAUUCUGGUUUCUUAUUGAAUUUGUUUGCAUGAUAAAUGGGAGAGAUUGUAGCUGGUUAAUUGCAGAAGCCUGUGCAUGAAGUCUGCUGCAAUGAGCUUAAAGUUUUGGUCCUGUUGCAGCAGCAUGUGCGAAUACCUUUUCUUUUCCUUAGAUGGCCGAAGCUUUGGCUUUGUUUCAAACGCUUGAUUUGGUUUGUAGCUUGACUGAAAUGUCCGGCAACAGCUCUUGAAAUUGGCUUUAGAUAUCCUUUGCUUGUUUCAUUUGGGUGCUGAAGGGAUGAGAGGGAAGGUUUGGUGUUGAUGUUUGUGUGUUUGUUUAAGGAAAAGCUUGAAGCAUGCCAAAUGGUUGCUAGAAAACGCAUUUCAACUUGCCAAACCAGUUUUAUACGUUUUCCAGAUUUUUCAACUUGCCGAAUGCAUUUCAUUUUUUGCACUGGAUCUUGCUGAGUUUUUCUGUUUGUUUGGAUGAUGGUUUGCUGUCUAGUUUAAAGCCUUGUGUUUGGGUUUGAAAUCUGAAUUGGAAAAAACAAGUUUUGUGUUUGGGUUGUUUGUAUGAAUGUGAAUUCAGCCAAAUGAGUAGCAAGCACAGAAACUAUAUUGCUGAGAAUCUCCCUUGCAGAAAUCUUCUUCAUGCAUGCAUGAAAUAAUUCUUCAAAAUUGCCUCUUAACCCCCUCAAGUUUCACCUUAUGCAAUUAUGACCCACAAAAUUGAGAAAACUAAUCAAUUGGGUCCCUGUGAUUUUUGCAGCAAUGCAUUAUGGCCCAAUUACAUUCCAUGUUCUUGCAAUUAGGUCCUAAGAUAUUUGCAUUUGAACCAUUACUUGAUCCUUUCUUGGCUCUUGGAUCCUUUGAGUUCUUCAAUGUUUCAAUUAGAUUCGAAUGGUUAAUUAAUGUUUGCAAUUGGGUCUUUAGUUUUUUUUUUCUAUUUUAGAAUUUUGAUUAAUGAAUCAUUUUUGCUUAGAAUUCGUGCAUUAUUUGAUCCUUUCUAAGUUGCAAAUUGAGGAAGGGUUCGAUGUUUGAUGGAUUCCGAUUGUCUUAUUUACGUUCUAUCAUUAAAUUGGUGCAUUAAUCCUUUGCUUUGAAUGGUUUUAGCCCAAGUUAUCCCGUUAAUUGGUGACUUUAGCCCAAUUUAAGUCUUGUCCACUUUAUUAGCACCACAAAAGGGGAAGGUAUAAUCUCUUUUAUCUUUUUGUCUCUCCUAUGUGAUCCAACGUGCUAAGUGAGAAGUGCAUGUCUAAUUUGCUUUCCUUGCUUUUCUUUAGUUCCUUUAUUUUAUUUACUUUUGCUUUUAAUUAAGUUAUUCUUUUAUGGGGUAUGUGUACACCUCUUGGCUUGUAAUAGAUAGGGCUUGGAGGAGCAUUUGAUGAAGACCUAUUGAAGACGUGUGCCUAGCUAGCAAAUGUAAUAGGUCUAUUAGCUUGGUUGCUUGCUUUUGUUGCUAUGUGUUAAUUUGCUUUAUUAGGUUCUUGCAUCUAGUCGAGCAUGCUAAGUGUUAUGUGCUAUGUGUUUAUGAGUGAUUGACAUGUCUACUCUCUUUUCAUAGCCAUGAAUGAAUGUGAUGGAUGAAUGUACGUUUCCACUAGUCCAACGCUAGUAGGAAUUCAUAGAAUGGGCUAGUCCAACGCUAGACCCAAUAGGCCGUCCCCCUUUUUGUUAAUGCAUAUUUGCAUGUUCACUACAUUUCAUGCAUUUUUCUUAGUUUUUAUCAUUUGGCAUGCUCCUCCAAUCCUUUUCCCCUCAUUCUAGGCUUUUUGCAUUCUCAUGCUAGUUAUAGGGUACAUUUGCUUGACGAGUCCCCUUUCGAUAAGGGAAACGAGCGAGUUUGGCUACAAAAUAGCCUUAGCACGCUAGUUCUUCCUUCUAAUCCAAGGAAAAAUUAAAGUCCCAAAGUUAGGACUCCCCGU